Molecule: ribosomal RNA, 315 nt
Filed under: uncultured bacterium
Lineage: Bacteria
Description: bacterial SSU rRNA
Rfam family: Bacterial small subunit ribosomal RNA
Source: RNAcentral
GAUGAACGCUAGCUACAGGCUUAACACAUGCAAGUCGAGGGGCAGCAGGGAUUUAGCUUGCUAAAUUCGCUGGCGACCGGCGCACGGGUGCGUAACGCGUAUCCAACUUUCCCGUUACUCUCGGAUAGCCUUCCGAAAGGGAGAUUAAUACGAGAUGGUGUUUUAAUUCCGCAUGUUAUUAAAACUAAAGAUUCAUCGGUAACGGAUAGGGAUGCGUGACAUUAGAUAGUUGGCGGGGUAACGGCCCACCAAGUCCACGAUGUCUAGGGGUUCUGAGAGGAAGGUCCCCCACACUGGAACUGAGACACGGUCCAG